Bactrocera oleae (olive fruit fly) is the source of this 1636-nucleotide non-coding RNA. Lineage: Eukaryota; Metazoa; Arthropoda; Insecta; Diptera; Tephritidae. The record is from RefSeq and is a predicted model, not a curated record.
AUCAACAUAUUAUGUUUAUUUGUGCUUAAUAACAAAUCGAAGAAAAUUAGUAUCAAUCAUUUUCAAAUUUGGAAGUGAUCCGCGGGGUUAUUCUUACACCGGAAAUAAGGUUUUUGUUUUUAUUCAUAAAUACAAUAUAAAUUCUUGUGCAUCAAUAAAUGUGUACAUAAAUAUGUAUUUAUAUAAUCAACAUUUCAGCUUGUUUCAGAAUGUUACGAUACAAAAAUUUAGUUUUGCUCGGUCAUUUUUUCUGGCAGCUAUAUGCUGGAGUAGGCACUAGUUCGCGUAUAUACAGACAGAUUCAUGGACGGACAUGGCUAAAUCGACUCAGCUCGUCACGCUGAUCAUUUAUAUAUAAUAUAUAUGCUUUGUAAACUUUUCGACGUUUCCUUCUAAAUGUUACAAAGUUCGUGGCGAACUUAAUAUACCAGUAAUGCCUAAAAAAUUAUUGGUGUGCAUCAAUACAAGUUCCCAUAUAUGUGUAUUUAAAUGGUUUAUCAAUAGAAUUUUGUUUUAAUUUCUCUUUUUUUGAUACUAUCUAUCUUUCUUUGAAUAGCCUUAACAACCCUAUUGACGUUUCAACAGGAAAGUUCUUUUUUGAUAAUUAUUUAAAUAUUUCCGUAGAUAAAACACGAAGGCGUUUAGUAAAAGCUCGGAUUCGUAUAUACUGGGAUUAGGAAAUAAGGAAAAGUUUUCUGAAAGGAAUUCCAACGUAUUGGUGAUAGCAUUUUGGACCUGGCAAAGGCCUUAAAUAUAGACGAGCGUCGUGCACCCUCAAAAACAACACCGCUAUCGGAAAGUGUUGGGCGCGUCGGUAGUAUUUUCAUUGGUAUUGGGCAUCUAAAUUAAACUCGAUACCAUUCUUGGACCUACAGAGGCGUCCUCAGUUUUCCUGAUAUUCUCUUAACACAUAAGGGUGCAAUACAAAAACGCAAAGAAUGCGAACGUUUAACCUCUGAUCAAAAUGUCAGCAAUGAACAAAUGACCGAUAUAAUUCCCUAUGUUGUAAUGACUGAAAUGUCGCAUUUUAAAGAAGAAUGUAAUACACAUAUGAAGCAGGCGCUCAGAUCAUUUAUAGCAGAGCAAAUUAAGUUCUAUUCCAAUCCCGGUAAUAAGCUGCAAGGAGGAAUAUAAGUUUCCAUCAGGAAAAUUUUUGGUGAUGUUUUAACAGCAAAUAAUACAUUUGAAGUCCACAUCGAGGCAACAAAACGAUGAAAGGCGUCCUCGCAUUGGUCUUUUGAGUUUGCUGAAAUGCCGCAAGUCUCACGGAGCCUAAUUAGACGAAUACGGUGGUUGCGGAAAGAUACGAGUCGAGUUUGUGGCAAAAAACUAAGGAAGCACUAGUACAGUGUGACAUGGUGCAUUAUCGUGAUGAAAGAACCAAGAGUUGUUCGGCUAUAAUUGCAGCUAUUUGUGAUGAAUAGCUGGACGCAAACGACGCUAAAUUCAUAUACUCUAUACUUACACAUUUAUAAUUGUAGUAUACGUAAUUAUUCGCAAUAUUGUAUAGUUAGAUGUACUUCACUUGCUUAAGUAUAUAUUUUAAGUGUGAAUAUUUAUAUUAAGACUGUAUAUAUGUAUAUAUAAAUAUAUAUAUGGUAAGCGUAUAACUCCACAACGCCUGGACAAAUUUUAA